RNAcentral lists this ribosomal RNA (468 nucleotides) under uncultured bacterium. Its description in RNAcentral is "partial 16S ribosomal RNA". It matches the Rfam family "Bacterial small subunit ribosomal RNA", at positions 28 to 507 of the family's 1533-position model. The record is from RNAcentral.
GACGAACGCUGGCGGCGUGCUUAACACAUGCAAGUCGAACGGAAAGGCCCUGCUUUUGUGGGGUGCUCGAGUGGCGAACGGGUGAGUAACACGUGAGUAACCUGCCCUUGACUUUGGGAUAACUUCAGGAAACUGGGGCUAAUACCGGAUAGGAGCUCCUGCUGCAUGGUGGGGGUUGGAAAGUUUCGGCGGUUGGGGAUGGACUCGCGGCUUAUCAGCUUGUUGGUGGGGUAGUGGCUUACCAAGGCUUUGACGGGUAGCCGGCCUGAGAAGGUGACCGGCCACAUUGGGACUGGGAUACGGCCCAGACUCCUACGGGAGGCAGCAGUGGGGAAUAUUGCACAAUGGGCGGAAGCCUGAUGCAGCAACGCCGCGUGCGGGAUGACGGCCUUCGGGUUGUAAACCGCUUUCGCCUGUGACGAAGCGUGAGUGACGGUAAUGGGUAAAGAAGCACCGGCUAACUACGUG